AUGUAGCUCAGUGGUAGAGCUCUUUUGUAACAAGUGAGAGGCCUGGGUUUAAUUCCCAGUAU
Molecule: transfer RNA, 62 nt
Filed under: Ictidomys tridecemlineatus (thirteen-lined ground squirrel)
Lineage: Eukaryota; Metazoa; Chordata; Mammalia; Rodentia; Sciuridae
Description: Spermophilus tridecemlineatus (thirteen-lined ground squirrel) tRNA
Rfam family: tRNA
About the family: Transfer RNA (tRNA) molecules are approximately 80 nucleotides in length. Their secondary structure includes four short double-helical elements and three loops (D, anti-codon, and T loops).
Source: Rfam by way of RNAcentral